GAAAGAAUUCUGAGUUUUGUUACAUUAUGGCACAUGUCUUCUGGAAUAUUGCCGGACAAGAAGUUUUUAUUAAGAUCCAAAGUUACUAGUGAAGAGAUCUGCAAUGUUGAUCUUGGUAAAAUACCAGAAAUUCGGUUGCUUUUCAUGCUCAAAAUUUUUAGGCUACCAAGAUUACUAAUAUUUAAUGGAAUCUGUUCUUGCAGAAAAUUGAAGUCCACGUUCAGGAUCUCCAGCCUCGACAGGUUACAGAGUGAAGAUGGAAUGGCUCCUUCAAAAGAGUUGUUAGCAAUAAUCAACUGUUCAAGAUUUGGUAAUUGACCAAGACUUGACGGUAUCCACCCAGAAAAGUUGUUGACGCUAAAAUCCAUGAAUUUUAAACGGCGCAAGUGAGCUAACUCUCCUGGAAGUUCGCCGUGAAAACUGUUGCCACUAAGAUCGAGGUAAAUUAGAAAGGAUAGGUUUCCUAAAUGCGGAGGGAUGCUACCUGUUAAUCCCAUGUUUGAAAGAUUCAACUCUGCAACUCUGUGGUGGCGCGAAUUGCAGGUGACUCCAAUCCAGCUGCAUGCCGAGGCAUUGAUGGACCAGUUGUUAGCUGUUACUUGUUUGGGAUCUAUAGUGAUAGUCUCCUUUAAAGAAAGAAGAGCAGAUUGAUCAACAUUUAUGCCUGCAAUUGGUCUGGUUAAGAAAGACAAGUUAUAUGACAUCAGUACAAUUGCCAAAGAAAUCAGAAAGCAGAUUCUUUCCAUGGUAAUAAUAUUCUUUUGGAUUGUUAUAGUCUAUUCUGUGAUAUGCAGCACCUUUGAGUUCCUUAAAUAAGAAGCUCCUUCGUUCUACCCCAAUCGUAUGAAUCUUUGUAGUCUUUAGUGGAUAAUUUGAGCAUUAUGUAGUGUGUACUCUUUUGUUAUUUGGAAUUAGUCUUAGUCCCUGUUUUACUGUAAUUAAGUCAAAACUCUUUAUUUCUCACACACUUUCAACCACACAUUUAUAUAAUAAAAUAUCCUGCAUGUAAAUCCAAAUUUUUUUCAUACUUUCUAAUCACACAUUCUACAAAAAAAUCACUACUCAAAACAUCGUUUUUCCCAAUUUCUCGACCAUCAAAAGGGCUUAGUUUGAUGUUGUGUACUCAUUUUGCAGUCACUUGCAUUUUCUUGGUAUUUCUUGUUUUAGGCCAUGUUUUGAACCACAUAAAUUAUAUUUUUUCGGUCUCUUUUUUCGAUUUGGCCUAAAUCGGAAUUAGUGCUUAUUCACAACUCAAAGAAUAUUUUCCUCCAAGGUUAAGUAACCACGAAAGUGGUUCCAGAAUAUAUUUUGUAUGCAAUAUUUAACGUUAUACUAGUUUAUAUUUGUGUGUACUCUACGGUGAUGUAAAACUCACGUUCAUUCCAGGACUUGGCCUGAAGCUAUGCAUUUGCUGGCAUUGACUGGAAUUUAUUGCAAGUCAAUGCUUCUUCCAGUCAAAUGCAAUCCCAAAUUCCCAAUCAAAGACUAAGUUUAACCAAGACCAGGAUGUGUAAGAAUUCCUAUCAAACAAGUGACUUCAUUAUAAUAACAAAAUUAUUAUCCAACUCGAUGGUUAAAAUUUAGGGCCUAAUCAACAAUUAAUAUAAAAAGUCCUACUUUAAUGCAGUACAAAUUUUACUUUUAAUUGUAAGUCUUUGAUUUUACUUCCAUCAUACCCUCAAUUAGCAUUGAUUUUACUUGCUCGUGGUUGGUAUUGAUUUAAAUCAGAUUUUAAGCUAAGUCAAAAUCAAACAAUUAAUAUUAACCCCAUAUUUUCAUGGGUUCUAUAACUUUUCAAUCAUCCAUCUCAGUAAUUUUUAUCAAAAUCUACUAAAAAUCUAAUUUCAAUCACAUUGCACUACAAAAUUUAAAGUGUAUGUUAUAAGUUUGAUUCAAAGUUCAUUUCUAAUAGAUUCCGAGUUUUUUAGAAUAUGAACAAAAAUGAGUGGGUUUGUUGGAUUUGUAGUUUAAACUUUGAGGUCGAGAAAUGGAAUGUUCACAAUAUAUGCAAAUUCUCAACAACCACUAAUUCAUUCGUUGUGAUAUUUUUAAAAAAUCAAGAACUUUAAUAACAAGGAUCGCUCUAGUAACUCAAUUCAUCUGUGUAGAUAAACGUCUACCAAAUAACAAAUAGAAAUGUAAACGAUGCUUACCGGAAAUAGCAACCUCGAAAACUUGGACUAUUGAGAUUAGUCGUGCUAUCAUCACCUUCGCGUAUAAUAUUUUUGUGGUAGAAUCAUGAAUGUUUUAAUCUAGUAGGUUUUUUUUUUAUUUUUUAUUUUUUCAUGCCUCAUAUUUUUGAAAGUUUUUUUUUUUUUUUUUAAAGCAUUAGCAAGAUUUUUUUGAUUUAAUUGUCCCAAUAAUCACUAAACUUAUGUGAGUAUUUUCGACCGCUUACUAAAUGUGUUUUUAUUUGCAUGUACGCUACGGUGAACGUACCCACUCACGUUCAUUUCAGGAAUUCGCCUUUGUCUCUGCAUUAGCUGGCAUUGACUGGAAUUUAUUGUAUGUCCAUGCAUCAUUUUCAGGACAUAUAUUUCCACAGAAAUGCAAUCUUUGUGCUCAAACUAAUCUAUGAAUGUGUGGCCAAGAAGAGUUAACAUUUGGAUGGUCAAGACGACUCUAACUAUCAGUCGUUUGUGUUAUGAAUUAAUCAUAAAAUAAUGACAAUAAUGAAAUAAGUAAGAAAAAAAUAAGUACACCAAAAUUUAUGUGGAAACCCAAGACAGGAAAAAAUCACAGAAGGAUGUGAAGAAAUCCAUUAUAAAUAAUGGUAAUUAUUAGGGCUAGACAAACUCCCGAACCAAACCCGAAUCCAAAUCAAACUGAAUAGUUCUUUUUAAAUUAAAUACUCGAACGAAUAUCUGAAUUGAGAAUCGAUAGGUAGGUUCGGUUCGAUUCUAGACCUAGAACCGAAGAACCAAAUAAGAACUGAAUUCCUCUAAUUUUUUUAAUUAAUUAAUUUUAAAUAAAACAAAUUAUUUUAUUUUUUCUAAAUAAAUUUACUAACUAGUUAAUUUAGGUAAAACCUAAAAAUAUAAUUUUCCUAUUUCUAAUUUUCAGUUCCAAGCCAACCUAAUUAAAUUGACCUAAGUUUUAUUCAAAUUUGUUACUCUACCGUAGUGUCGUUUCUACCAUUCUGAAAAAUCAAAUUAAAGCUCAACAAAGCCUUUCUUAAUUAUUAUGAGCUUACUAUCUUCCUGUUCUUGUGAUUUUAACAAUCAAAUUUAUGAAGAACCCGACAAAGAGAGAUGCAAAAGAUAUAUAAGAUUGGACUACGUUUUUUUUGUAAGAGCUAAGAUUGAACAUAUCAUUAGUUGAAUUAAUGUAGCUUUAUAAAUAUUAAAAAAUUUAAUUAUAAUACAGAACAUGGGAAUUGAAUGGAAUCGAACCGAACCAAACUGAAUGAACCUGAACGAUUUCAUAAUUAAAUUUGGACUCAACGAUUUCACUUAAUAAAUACCCGAAAAUUUUGGGUCCGAUUUGGUUCUCGUUAGAACCAAACCAUGUCCAACCCUAGUAAUUAUAUUUUCAACAACAUCUCAAUACUCUCAACUAGAUCUAAAACUCUCAAGAUGUUUUACGAAUGUUGUGGGAGCUAUAGAAGCUGUGACUUAUAUGUAUGAAACCCUAGAAAUCAAGUUGUAAAUAAAUAGGAGUCCAAAAACGUGUUAAAAUGCGAAAUGGGCCUGUGUCGGAUAACCCUAUCGCUCGAGCGACAACCCCGCUGCUCAAGAGCCAGAUGGGCGACAAGUCUCUGUAAAAAAAUAUACAAGUGCCGCUCGAGCAAAAAUGCAACGACUUUUCUUUCCAAUUCAUGAUUUUGAUCUCUUCAAGACAACUUCAACUAGACCUCCAAAACUUGCUAGAAUUUAUGUCACAUUACAACAAAUCUCCACCUUGAACCAAAUUCCAAUUCAAGGAAUUCCAAAGACACAUGUCCAAAGUAAACACCACUCAUUAUCUUCCAAACAAACCCCAAUGGGCUAGAUCAAUAACAAACCCUAAUUAAGUUCUAGCAAUGGUCAAACUUAGUAAUGAGAAGUAGUUUUGUCAUCAUAUCAAUAGAAUUAUCCUUGAUAUCAACCUUGCUCAGUACAAUAUUACUAUGAGAAAUCACUUUACACACAAAAUGAUACCUCAUAUCAAUGCGUUUAGUCCUUUCAUGAAACAUAUAAUCCUUAGUCAGAAAAAUAGCACUGUGACUAUCACAAUAUACUAUAAAAAUUUGCAAAUUUUCACUGAUUUCACCAAUCAAUCCUUUUAACCACAUAGCCUCCUACAUGCCUUUGUAAUAGUCAUAUACUAUGUCUCUAUUGUACACAAAGUUACUGUAUUUUUAUGAAAUAGCUUUCCAACUGAUAGCACAGCCUCCAACGUUUAAAAUACACCCUAUAAGUGAUCUUGAUGUGAUCCAAGGAGGGCCAGGAAUUUCCAAGGGUUCGGAGCGAGUUGAGAAGAGGUUUAUGGCAAGGGCAAAACCAAUUAGAGUCAACAAAGCCAUACAAUUUCUUGUUCGAGAGACGGAGUCAACAAGCCAAAUUACAAGUUAUAUGUUGGUCUUGAUGGUAAAAUCUUGUUUGGUGCGUUGGAUUCAAAGUUUUGGAGGAUAUAUGAAAAAACGAAUAGCGUGGAUUAAAAUGGACAUAACUUUCAGCUCAAGCGUCAGAUUUUCGUCCAUGAGUAUAAUUCGGAAUCAUCACGAAAUUCUGCACAAGGAAAAAAGAGGUUUCAAAUUUAAUACUAUGCGAACCGCAUAGUAUAAAAGGCAUGCGACCGCAUAGACCAUUCCCGAGACCAAAUUGAAAGAUUUCAAAUGGACUAUGCACUAUGCGACCACAAGGUAGUAAUUCAGGGGUGAAGUUUCCUUUUACACGAAACCUUUUAUUUUAGUUAGGAUUCUUAUUUUUGGCAACUUUUAUAUUCUUAGGACUCUAUAAUUCCCUUUUUACCAUGUUUCUAGGUUUUAAUAUAAAUAGGAUUUUAUUCUUUCAUUGUAAGACAACAUUGAUAUUUUGAGAGAAUUAAUUCAAAGGGGCUGUUUGCUUCCAAUUUCUUUAUUUUUAAUUGAACAAUCAAACUCAUAAAGGAAUUCGUUUUCUUAUGGCAUUCACAAUUUCGGGUGAGAUUUGUACAACGUGUAAUUGAGAAGUUGUUGGUUUAAUAUACCUUCGGUUGCUUAAUUCAUUGUUUACGGGUUUAAUCCAAAACCUUCGAUUCUUUGCCGUUCUUGGGAUCCAGUUUCAGUCUUGUGUGGGUUUGGUAGCCGCUGUUGCUACGUGGGUUCACAUUAGAUCUCCUCUUAUCAAGAUGUCUUGCAUAAUUUGGAUCCACAUACCUAAUUACUCCAUUUGUAUUUCUACCAAAAUGCAAACAAACACUAGUGGGGUCAUUAAAGUAUCUAAAUAUCCAUUGCACUGCUUUUCAAUGUUCAUUAUCGAGAUUUGUCAUGUAUCUACUAACUGCACAAACUACAUUAGCCAAAUUUGAUCUUGUACAAACCAUAGUAUACAUAAGCGAAUCAAUUGCCCUGGAAUAAGAAACCCAAGAUAUAUAGUCAAUGUGUUCAUUUGAUUAAGGAUACAAUCCAGAUGAUAGUUUAAGUGGGAAGAACAAAGGAGUACUAACAGACUUAGCAUUCAGCUUAUUAAACCUUUGAAACCCCUUCUCAAUGUACCCCUUCUGACUUAAUGUACAUUUGGAGGCUAUGUUAUUAGCUAGAAAGUUACUUUACAAAAUACAAUAGCUUUAUCUACAAUAGAUACAAAAUACAUUACCAUUACAGAAGCAUGCAAGGAGGCUAUGUGGUUGAGAGGAUUAAUAGGUAAAAUCAGUGAAUACUUGCAGAUUUCUAUAAUAUACUGUGAUAGUAAGAAUAUUAUUUUCUUGACUAAGGAUCAGAUGUUUAAUGAGAGAACUAAGCACAUUUAUAUGGGGUAUCAUUUAAAACGUGAUGUGAUUGUCUGUGGUAAUAUUAUAGUGAACAAGGUUGACAGCAAGGAUAAUCCUACUAAUAUGAUGACAAAACCACUUUUCAUCACUAAGUUUGAGCAUUUGACGCCGGGUAGGAUAGUGAUUAUCCUAUUGGCUUGUUGUAGAAGAUGAUUCGCAAGAAAAGAACGAUAGAAAAUGCCCAAAAAAAUAGAGAAAAUACUCUGAAUUCAACUCAAUAUUAUUAAUAAUGCAAAAUGAUGAAAACUAACCCACAAGCCGGGUUAAAUAGCUGCGAAAUACGAAAUUAUGGGAAAAUUACCAAAAAUGGCAAAAUCCCAAAAUUAUACCAAAAUAAAAUAUUAAGUAAAAGAAGUAAGUUGCCAAAUAUUUGGCUCAAUUCGAGUUUUCUAACAUAUGGAAAAAAGGAAACGAAAUAUUACCAUAAAUAGUAAAAAAUAACUUAAAAUUGAAUUUUGGAAAGGAAAACAGUGAAUUCUGGGCUCAAAAUUGACGUCCAUCGAGCACAGCUGGGUGGCCACGACGUGCGCGCCGAAGAGAGCUUUCCGAAUUGGGGUCAUAAUGGCGAUUCCGAUAACCGUAGCCAAAGUUAUGGCCAAAUUACCAAAGACGCGUCAAAUUCCCCUAAUUAAGGAAAUAAUGGUGAUUUACUUUCCAUCUUUGCGCCGAUCCGCCAUCUCAUGGUAUCUCAGCGCCAUCAUCGUGCUAUCUGACAAAUCAGUAUCACUCGACUCGGAUCCUCCUGCAUCAGCAUUGCUUGAACUUAAUUGGUAUUUGUUAUUGAUUUAGCCCAUUGGUGCUUGUUUAGAAGAUGAGUGGUGUUUACUUGGAGAUGCAUUUAGAAUUCCUUGUGUUGAAAUUUAGUUCAAAAUGGAGAUUUGUUGUGGUGUGAUUUAAAUUCAAUGUGAUUUGGUGUUCGCUUGAGCAGAAGAAGUCUAAGGAGCUUUGGUUUUAAGUCCUAAUUAAUGGAGAUCAAAUUUCAUUAGAGAUGGAAACGGAGCGAAGGUGGUGCCCGCCCUACCCCAUCUCGCCAAAAUCCCUAAGGCGAAGCGGGGCAACUUUUUGUCCCGUUUAAUUUUUUUUAGUAUUUUAUUUUAUUUCACAUUUUCAAAAUUUUGAGUUAUAUUAUAAUUAGAGAAUAAAAUACAAAUUUAAAAUGAGUCUUUUAGCGGGUAAAUUAUCUAAAAGUAAAAUUAUUUUUAUUCUUUUUUUUUUUUUUUUAUCUUCACGGGGCGGGUUUAGGGCGGGGCAUCCGCGCCCUGCGAUGGGGCACCCCGCCCCGCCCUGCCUCCGCCAAAUCGUUCAGGGCGGGGCGGGAAUUUUUUGCCAUCCCUAAAUUUCAUCAAGUUAGGAGUUUGGCUUGAAAAGAGGACUUUGGGAUGGUGAAAAUAUCAUUGGAAGAAUAAAAUUUGAGAGUGUGGCACUGGGGCACCAUCGUCGGGCUAAACGCCCAGCUUUUAGCGUUGAGGCGCCACCUAGACAAAUUUUUCGACAUUUUGUGGAUUUUAUGAAUUCUUCUACAACUUGAAUUCCACCAAAAAAUUUAAAAAAUAAAAAAAUAGAAAAAGAAAAAAAACACACACACACAAUUUACUAUUGAUUAUAGUACAUUUCUCCUUCUCUGCCUAUGAUUUUUUCCAUCUUGGAUUUUUAUAUAAUUUUUUGUGUUCUUAUUUUGUUCUUGUUUUUUUCAUUCUUGUCAUUAUCUUGCGACCAAUUUGUUACAAGUGGUAUUAGAGCGAUUCUAGUAACUUGUUUAUUUCUAAUACAUAUGAAUGGUUCACAAUCAAUAUAAUUACUAGUGCUGAAAUUUACACAGUUAUCUUUUUGAAGAUCCAAGAAAUUUCAGGAUUUGGAGAAAACUUUGUAAUCCUCCCUUGUCCUUUUAGUUGACAUAGACACCGGUCAUCUAAUGAAAUGAGGAUGGGAUGCUACAUUGAGAAUGUUCGAGAUAGCUUAGCUGGUAGGGCAGUGGACUGGAAAUCCUUGUGUCACUUGUUCAAAUCUAGUUUGUCAUAGACAAGAAAAAUGAGGAGCAAGGAAAACAACCAAAGUGCAAUUGGACAAAGAUCAAGCAAUUGAUGAGAACUACAUUUUGGCCCAAUUCCAUUAUUUGGGGAUCCGAAAAUGCAUUUUUCAUUAUUCUAUAUAAUCUUAAUUUUAAUUGGAUUAGAAUUUUAAUUCCAUUUAGGGAUUGAUUUUAUCCUUACCAUUAUUUAGAAGUUAGUCAUUAUUUAAAUUUUAUUUACUGUUCUAAAUACACGUUGUAAUAAAUUUUUAUAAUCAUAUGAAUUUUGAAUUAAAUUAAGAGUCUUGAAAUGCUUGCCAAAAUAAUUAUCUCGUUCUUGGUAUUUGCUCUUUCAAAUCAACAAAUUUGAGUUUCUGUGAGAUUUUAUUCUUUCAUGUAAGCUUCCACUACGUGUGCAAGUAGCUGGACUUUAAUCUAAAACAGUGAUUCUACCAAUCCUUCAUGCUUGGCCUAUCUUAAGGAGAUUCUGCCGCACAAUUCAUAGUUAUGCACGUAAGAAUACACUUUAGCUUUUCAUUCGAGAGUCCUUCCUGUGUACUCAACUAAGUUGGCAUCUAUAGUCGCAUCUAUUGCGUACGGAACUUCAUCAGUUACCCUUCCGCUUCAUAUUCUGCAAGCAUUAUAUUACGUAAUAAGAAACACGAAGUUUUGAAUGGAACUGAAACAUUUGGGAAAGAAAACUGUAGCAGACAAGGGCUAUAUCCGGCUCUUUUGGGGGAUUCUACGCACUAUUUUUAUUAUUAUUUUUUUUUUUUCAAAUAACUGCAAGUGCGUUCAACUUCACCAGAUUAGAUUCAUCUAGAAGACCGCAGUGUUUGUGCAAUUCGACUUUAGAAGCUCAUCAGUCGCAGCUCAGUACGUUUAGCCUUCAAGCUCUGCAUAUAAAUAAUGAAUAAUGAAUAUGAGUUACAACAAUUUGUGUCAAAUGUUUCAAUUGUUUAUUUUGCUCUGGAAUUUAUCCAAGUGAUUAAUUGCGUAAAUAUCAUUUUCUGGGUUUCCAGAAUUCUCAUGAAAACUUUAUGAAAGCUAGUUUUGAGUUUAAAGUGGAUACCAUAAUAUAAAUAAUUGAUUUAUUUAUGCAUGUACCACGUGAUCUAUCAUUUAUGAUGUGACUGUUGUUUUCAAAAUUUUGGUUAAUAACCAAUAAAUUGACUUUAUAUGCAUUUGAAACUGUCCAGAAUACUCCUACUAUCUGCAACUUUCUCCCGUAAUUCGAGUAUUUUAGGGUGUUCAAGUUUAUUGUAGUCAAGAAGAGUAAGUUCUUAUCUCGUUCAUCGAGUUCAAUGUAACAAUGUAUUAGGAGACAGUGUUACAAUGUCAAUCUUUCCUAAUGGUAUCAAUGUACGGAUGAUUCGAUUUUGAGAAAAUUUGUUUUUGCAUCAAACUUUAUGGUUCGACAAAUUUACUAUCUCCUUAAGUUCUUGUGUUUGUAUUUAUGUUCAAUUUUUCCUAUUUUAGUAGUUUCGAGUUAUUUUAUGUUCAAUUUAUUCCAUUAUGUUCGUACUAUCAUGUCCUGAUGAUAUCUCCAUGGAUAUUGCUGGGAUAUUCAUGAUUUGUAACUUCACUAUUGAGGAGAAGCUUAUAAAUAUGCUCAAGUUUUCCUUUCCAAAAUGUCUCAUUUAGACCCAAAAGACAAAUAGUUCACCAAAGAACAGGAAUCUGGAGGCAUAUAGACCUCGGCUUGUAGUAAAUAUGGAGGUCGAGUAGAGUUGUAGGAAAAAUUUUAAAAAGCAGCUAGGAAAGUAAGAAUAAUGCGAAUUUCUACUAGUAUUUGCAAUUAAUGUUGAUUUUUCUGAAAUCAAACUGGAUGAUGCCACUUUUGUUGGAGGAAAUAGUGGAGGAUGGCCGGUUCCACAAUAGCCUUUGAAUGGAAAAAUCCCAUUAAAAAAAAAAAAAAGAAGCUGAAAAUGUAAACAAUAUCAAAGGGUCGAAAAUAUCCCCAAAUAAGAGAAGAGAAAAAGAAAGAAAGAGAAAACUAAGAGAAGAUAAAACAAAAAAACAAAAUUCACAGCACCAUUGUCGAAGAUCGUCAUUUCUCAAAGAUUAGAUUUGUUUUUUUGUAAUUUACUCACCAUUGAGGUCUAACACAUGUAGGAAUUUAAUGCUACAAGAGUUUAUAAGAGUUAAAAUACAAGAAAAAGUCAUAUUUGAGGUUGAAAUGGUUAAAAAAAAGUGAAAAAAAUGGGAUGUAAGUCAUCAGAAAUGGAGUUUUUCGACAGCUCGUCGCAAUCCGGGCACCUAGCAGCGGAUCCGAACCAGGACGAUCCAGAUCCGAACCACAACCCAAACGUCCGAUUCCAAGCCCACCUUAUCUUUCCAAAUUCAUUUUCAUUUAUUUUCUGAAUAUUUUAAGAAGAAAUUAAAUUAAAUAUUAAUUUUUUAUUAAAGUAAGAAUGUCCAUAAUAUUUAAAUAUUAAUUUUUUUAUUCAAAUAAGUUAUUAAAUUAAAAAAUAAGGUAAUGAAAUAUUAAAUAAUUAAUAAGUUAUUAAAAUUCUUUAUUUAAACAAGUGAUUAAAAAAAGUAAUUAAAUAUUAAAUAAACAAUAUACAUAACCAAUUAAGAUAAUUAAUUAAUGAAAUAUUUAAAUAAGAACUUAAAUUAAAUACUAAUUUUUUAUUUAAACAAGUAAUUAAAUAAAUAAUUAAAUAGAGUAAUUGAAUAUACAUAAUCAAUAAAGGUAAUUAAUAAAGAAAUAUUUAAAUGAGAAAUCAAAUUAAAUAUUAAUUUUUAUUUAAAUAAGUGAUUAAAAUAAUAAUUAAAUAAGAUAAUGAAAUAUUAAAUACUUAAUAUACAUAAUCAAUUAAGAUAAUUAAUUAAAAUAUCUAAAUAAGAAAUUAAAUAAAAUAAGAAUUUUUUAUUUAAAUAAGAGAUUAAACAAAUAAUUAAAUAAAGUAAUUACAUAUUAAAUAAACAACAUACAUAACCAAUUAAGAUAAUUCAUUAAUGAAAUAUAUAGAUAAGAAAGUAAAUUAAAUAUUAAUUUUUUAUUUGAGUAAGUGUUGAAAAUAAUUAAUUAAAUGAAGUAAUUAAAUAUAUAUAACAAAUUAAGAUAAUUAAUUAGGGGUGGACAAAAUGUUUAGAUCAGACCAAACCAAACCUGAACCAAACCAAAUCAAACAGUUCGAUUCAGUUCAGGUCUAUCAAAAAAAUUAAUGGUUUUGAUUUUUUGAACCGAGAACCAUUUAAUUUUGGUUCUGGUUCAGUUCUAAUUAAAAAACUAGAAUUAGAACCAGAACCAGAACCAAACUUAAUAUUUAUUUUUAUAUAUAAUAAUUAGUGGAGACCCUAAUUUUAUAUUCAUUGGAGAUAGCCCAUUAAUUGAAUACAUUUUAUUAAUCAAUUUUGGAUCAUUAGAGAUAAACAAUUCAUUAGUUGUCUACACCCUAAUUUUGUAUUUAGAUUUCAGUUGAAUUAUUUCUCUUUUACUCCUUUUCAAUUUACACAACGCCGUAGCAUACUGAUAUCGCAUUUCAUCAAGUCAGUGGAGUGUCAUUUAAGAUCGAAAAAUGAAAUUCAUCAGUUACUUAAAAAGUCUUUAAACCAUUUUUUUUUUUUUUUUUACCUUGAUUGUUUGAUGUGUUAUUUGUGUUCUUCACAAAUAGAGAAAACCUCAAUAAACAUUAAUGAAAUAUUAAAUUGUUAAUGUUGUCUGUGGAAGUGGACUGUAAAAAUGUUGAUAAUUCAUUCUUUAUUAUAGAGGUGUGCCUUCAAAAAUACUAUAAUUAAUGUAGUGAAUCAUUGUUAUUAUUUAUUAAACAAUUUUUUGUAUGAAAACGAAAAUUGAUUUGUGUAUUCAAAUUAUGAAUAUAUUUUAUUUGUUAGUUAUGACUUUUUUUUAUCACGAUAAUUGAAAUUUGAACUUCCUAAAUGUUUGAUAUUUAUUUUCUUAUUUAGGUAUACAUUACUAAUUUAUAUGAUGCAAAUCUAAAAAAUUAAAAAAUUAAAUUAGAACCAAACCAAACCAGAACCGAAUGAUUCGGUUCAGUUUGGUUUCAUAUCUUUAAAAAAAAAAUCAUUUGGUUCCAUUAUAAAAAAACCAUUGAUUCAUGGUUCGAUUCGAUUCUCUUGAAACCAAAACCAUAUGGAACCAUGUCCACCCAUAUAAUGAAUUCAUAGAAUAAUUAAACGAGAAAUCAAAUUAAAUAUUAAUUUUUUAUUUAAAUAAGUAAUUUAAAUAUAGUAAUUAAAAAUUAAUUACUAAUAAUAUACAUAACAAAUUUUAUAAUUAAUUAUUGAAAUAUUUAAAAAAUUAAUUAAACAGUGAUUUGGCAUCAUUUCAACCACACAUUUUUAAUAAAAAAUGUUACAUGCAAAUUCAAAAAGAUUUCUUAUUUUUUAACCACACAUUUUUCAUUAAUACACUAUUCAAAAAUGUAUUCUUCAAAAAUAAUGGGGCUCAAAUGGGGGUAAAAUAUUAAAUAGAUAAUAUACGUAACGAAUUAAGAUUAUUAAUUAAUGAAAUAUAUAAAUAAGAAAUUAAAUUAAAUAUUUAUUUUUUUAAUUAAUUAAGUAUUUAAAAUAAUUAAUUAAAUAAAGUAAUUAAAUAUACACAACCAAUUAACAUAAUUAAUUAAAAAAGUGAUUAAAUAAAUAAUUACAUAAAGUAGUUAAAUAUUAAAUAAAUAAUAUACAUAAAAAAUUAAGAAAAAAAUUAUUUUUUAUUAAAAAACAUAAUUAAAUAACGUAAUUAACUAUUAAGUACUAAUAAUAUACAUAACAAAAUAAGACAACUAAUUACUGAAAUAAUUAAAUAGUAAUUAAAUAUUAAUUUUUUUAUUGAAAUAAGUGAUUAAAGUAAUAACUAAAUAAAGUAAUGAAAAUAUUAAAUACAUAAUAUACAUAACCAAUUAAGAUAAUUAAAUAAUGAAAUUUAAAGAAGAAAUUAAGUUAAAUAUUAAUUUUUUUUAUUUGAGUAAGUGUUUAAAAUAAAUAAUUAAAUAAAGUAAUUAAAUAUACACAACCAAUUAAGAUAAUUAAUUAAUGAAAUAUCUAAAUAAGAAAUCAAAAUAAAUAUUAAUUUCUUAAUUUCAAUAAGUGAUUAAAGUAAUAACUAAAUAAAGUAAUGAAAUAUUAAAUACAUAAUAUACAAAACCAAUUAAGAUAAUUAAUUAAUGAAAUAUCUAAAUAAGAAAUUAAAUUAAAUAUUAAUUUUUAUACAAAUAAUUGAUUAAAAUAAUAAUUAAAUAAGGUAAUGAAAUAUUAAAUACAUAAUAUACAUAACCAAUGAAGAUAAUUAAUUAAAGAAAUAUUUAAAUGAGAAAAUUAAAUAUUAAUUUUUUAAUUAAAAUAAUGGUCGCGGGACAAAGGUGCCCGAGGUCUCGGACGGGGACGGAGAGGACCCCCAACUUGACAGAUAAUGUUGCGAGUUUGGAUGACAUUAUAAUUAUGCUGGAGAGGGUAAUGCAAGUAACACUCUGCAAGAAACAUGUUAUUAACGUGCCAAAGUACAUGGUCAGCAAGAUGACUAAAUUGUCAUCACAAAUUCUUCGUACACGGUUGAGGCAAAGAGAACAUCCGUCGACGGUACGUUACCCUAUCUCUUCCGUGAAGUCCACCUGGGACGAUUGUGGAGUCUUCGCAUUGAAGAAAAUUGAGGAAAUCAGUAACAUAUUAUAAAUAGAGAGUACAUACGAUUUAAAUAGAUAUGUAUUCGUGGGGUCAAUUUUAAUGUAAUCAAUAGCACACUAUAAAUAGAGAAAAUUGAGGAAAUCAGUAACAUACUAUAAUAGAGAGUACAUACGAUUUAAAUAGAUAUUACACAUUCGUCGAGUCAAUUUUCAUUUAAGUACCUACGCGGUAGGAGAAACUUUUCGGUAGAUGAUAUUCUAGACGUAUGUUUAUAUCCAGGAGUACACGGUCAAACUUCAAGUGGCAACAAAUUAUUAAGUGUUACAAUGUAAUCGGGAACCAUGAUGUGCUUGGAUGAUGACUGACGCAACCCGUCCCGAAUCAUUCUAGUGGACACGAAAUGUGACGUGCGUCGAUGAUAAAUGCUAACUAGAUGUCAAAUUUAUCACCAAAGCUGACUAUGAGUAAUUUAAAAAAAAUGAAACAAAAACAAGUGUUUAUGUAAAACAUAAUGUGUGGGCCCAAGUUAUUUACUUUAUAUCUCAUCAAUAUGAGUUUAUAACACUCAACAUGUCGUAUGACUCUCAUUCUGAAAUUAUUAGGCUCGUCCAGCUAAAAGAAUCAAUUUCUACCUGUAAGAAAAUUACGGGAAAAUAUACGAGUUUAUAGCUCAGUGAGUGGAAGAAUUCGAAAAUAAUUAUAUUUUCUCCUUUAAACAUUUUUACCAAACAUUCAAUUCAUAUCGUUUAAUAUUCACAUGAUAGACUCAUACAAUUAUAGCAAAAAGUAAGUCACUCUUAUAACACUGUAAAUAUCAUUUUAUAAUCACAAUAUAGUCAUCAUCUGAUAUAUAUACCAUCAUCUCAUUACAUCACAUGUGAUCCACCAAAAAUGUACCAUCUGACUAAAAUUUGUAAUUCACCCCUCGGGCUAAGCACUUUCCCCACAGGCCUUUGGCCCCCUCCGUGAACGAAAGUUGAUCUCAAAGACUUCUGGUAAUCAAUUCUAGAACACAGUCAAGGCCCCGCUAUGAAUUAUAUGUGCACGGUCGAGACCAAUAUCCGAUCAAGACCCUCCGUGUAGAAUAAAACACGGCCAAGACCCCUCUAUGAAUUAGAAGAAGUACAUAAUCACGGAUACUUUUCUGAUCGAUCUCAAUAUCACGUCUCACAUACCAAACAAAUCUCAAUAUCACAUGUCUUAUAUACCAAGUCACAAACGUACAAUAAAUAAUCCUUGAAAUUCCACAUGUAUCAUAAUAAAAGAUAUUUCUGUAAUAAUUAUAAAAUCGAACACAUAAUUGCACAUACUUUACUAAUGUACUUCAUUUAUAAAUAUUUUAAAAAUAUUUAUAUUUUUCCAGUCACAGCACUAUGUUCGCAAAAUCAACUCGAUUGGUAAGCUGUCUCGAUAUCCGUAUCAUCGCUUGAAAUAUAAUAUAAUUUUUAAAUCAACAAUUUACUAUUUUAAGUAAUUUCAAUAAUUAAAUAUGCGAUAUACAAAUUUAAUCAUUUCACGUUUAAGCGAUUUCUAAAAUCUCUUUAAUCACUAAAACUAAUUUUUCUUUCAUUUAACACAAUUUCAUAAUUUAUUAUACUUAACUCCUUCAAUAAAAUUGAAUUUAAUCUGACAAUCUAACAACUAUAAAAUUAAACAUAACUUGACAAUAAGUAACUUUUUACUUACCUUUCAAAAUUGAGGAAUUCAAGCCUAAUAGUGUAGACCACUUAUUUUCUAACAACAUAGUUGAACUUUCCACUUUUUUUCUUCUUUUUCUUCCUCUUUUUCUUUUUUUUUUUCCCUCCCUCCCUUUCUUCUCUUUUCUUCUUCUUUUCCUCCUUUCUUUCUACCGAUUUUUCACUGUUUCUGCCCCAAUUCGUUCUCAACUUGCUUGUGUGUAUGUAAUAUGAAUAAUGAAGAAAUGUCAUGCAAAGUGCCACUUGUAAUCCACCACUCAACCCUUUUGCUAUCAAGUCCUCCAAGUUUCAUAUGAUAUCUUAUUAAGUCAUCUAACUUUUAAUAAUUAAUAAGUAUUUCCCCAAAUUUAAAUUUUAUCCAUCUUAAACCUUCUAAUGUUGUCAAUUUGUAAAAUAAACUCCCAAAAAAAAUUUGGUCAAUUCAAGUCCCACUAAAAUGAUUUACUUCAUUUAAGUCAUUAUUUGACUUUGAAUUUGACUUUGACUAGUCAAAUAUUGACUUUGAAUAAAUAGUAUUGACCUUUGACUAUUACGAAAUGGGAUGUAACAAUCUUACCCCUUUCAAAGAAUUUCGUCCUUAAAAUUCAUUCGGCUAAGAUUCAAACCAAUAAAUAUGUAGCGCACAGAUUUAAUCUUCCAUAAUGCCUCAUCCUGAAUGAUUUUUCCAAUCCACCUUGAUAACUUAUUUUCCAACUUUUGUCUCACUAACUAGGUAUCUCAAUUCCAUUUAAAUAGAAUCCCAUGCGUUGAUGACAUAUUUUCUGAACUUGUCUUCAUAUUUUCUGGCAUUCUAUUAGAAAUUGCACAAUGUACUUUAUUUCUGUAACUCCUUAUAUCAGCCAAAAAUAGAUGCUAAAACUCCACCAUAUAAAUCACUAUCUUAUCCAUAUAUAGUUUAUUAAUGUAUCUCAUGAACUGACUAUAUUAUUUGAAAAUAAUCCUGUAACUUUUGUCGAUUUAUCAUUAAUAAUCUAAAUUCCAUUUUGUCUCCAUUUAGUGUAUUUAGAACUCCAAAUGAAAAUUGUUUGAGGGUAACCUCUUCCAUUCUAAAUUGAUAAUAUUUGUAAAAAUUCAAUUGUUCAUGAUUUUCUAAAAUUUCAGUUAUAACCAACAACAAUUGAAAUAACUUAAUAUAUUAUUAUUUUCCUUCAUUUCUAUAUCACCCAAUAAUAAUAUAUAUACAACUUCAAGUUCAACUCUUUUUCGAAUACAAAUAUACCUUAACCUCAUGUAGUCAGUAAGUAUUGGUCUUUCCACCAUGUGAUAACGCCACAAUUCCUAAAUGUCAAUCCCAAUAUAACCAACAAUAUAUCAUGAUUUAUUCAUAUCUCUUUAUCAAUCUACAACAUAAUCCGUAUUUUAUCAGUCUACUUGGAGAACAUUUUCUAUACCAUAACAUAAAUUAUUAUCGUGAAUCAAUCACUUAUCAUCUUUCGAUAUAAGAACAAAUAUUUCCUCAGAAUUUUCUGAUAGCAAAACUUUUGACAUUUCUAUACUCAUAUAAAUUUUGUUCUUUCUUUCUAUGAAAAGGCAAUAAUAACAUUUAAUCCAUGAAAAUCUAUGCUUUUAUUCCAUAAAUGGGUCAUUGAUCUAUCACCAAUACAUAAUCCUUCUUAUAUAUUGCAUAAAGACAUUUAAUUGAGAUAAUGUAACCUAAAGAUACUAUUUUACAAUAAGUAAGAUCUUUAUUUGAUGAUCAUUUUAAACUUUAGAAAUAUCCAAAUCCAACAUGUCCUACUUAUAUUCCUUAACAAAUAUAUUUUGAUGAAAAUGGAAUACUUUGUUUGUGAUCCAUACAAUUGAAAAUGGCCCAAAAAUUACAUCACUAAAAUUUCAAUAAAUUCAUCUUAACUUCAAAAUUUAACUCAAUGCUUCCAAAUUGUAUGAUAUGUAACACAAUAAUCCAACGAAUGGCCUUAAAGAAAUUAAUUAACUUAAUAACCCAAUUUAUCAUCACAUUAUUUUGUUAUAGGACAACCAUUAUAUUCAUUUACAUGCUAUUCACCAUAUCAUGUUAUGAUCAUGUAACAUUGGCAUUUUAUCAUCAUAUUGUAUGACCUAAAAUAUUUAAUUAUAUUAAUUUUCCAUAAUACCACAAGAUAAUAACCUUCAUAUUUAUCACAUGAACGUUUCACAUAUCAAUAUACCGCAUGUUAAUUUCCCAAUCUCAACAAAUUUCGAUUCUACAUUCUCUAAUUUUUUUUCUUCCCACAUAAACAUACCUAAAUGCACAUAUCCAUUUAAUUCUAUUUUUAAAGCAACUAAUCACCUCAUAAUAGGUAAUCAUUACGAAGUUCAUCCCUAUUAUUCUCACAUUCCUUAUAAUCAAACAACUCAUAAAUUAUCGAAAUAAUUGGAAUUACCAUUAAUUUCCUCGAUGCCUAAAAUACAAUAACACAUUGUUAUCUAUCAACCAACAAACCAUCAUUUGUCUUCCACAAUUUCUUAUCAUAUGGCAUAAAUAUACACCAUUAUAGUUUCUAUUAUCAUAUGGCAUAAAUAUACACCAUUAUAAGUGGCCACAAUUCACCACAAAAUUUUCAUAAUGCCACUAAUCAUUUAGUUCCCCAAAAGAAUUAAAAUUCCUCACCUAAUUAUCACCAUUUACACAUAUAAUACCGUUUUCACUGUUACUAUAGUACAAGCUAGAAUUAGGGAUUUCCCAAGUGUAUAUUAAAAACCACGAAAUUCAACACAAAGAUUGGUACUUAAAUGGUUGUACUCUAUCACUUCGAAUGUCUAUAAGUAAAUAACCAACAAUACCAUCAAAACUUUCACCCUCAAAUUAACAAUAUGCUCAACUCUUAAAAAGCUACAUACACCAUCAUCCCAACCCACACUUUCAACCAUCAGAUAAUGUAACUGAUGUACUUACAUACUACUCAUUAAUUUUACCGAUCAUAGUCUUAAACGAAACUAACUUACUCAAUGUGAAUGUUUACCUAAAUAAACCCCAAUUUUAGAAAGAAACCCCUAAAUUGGAAUGCAAACCCUAAUUUAUGAAAUUUUUACGAUUGAAAUGAGAUUAAUAUGCAAGACGGGAUUUUUAACAACCUAGAAUGCAAAACAACUGUUGAGAGUGCAAAUUAUUAGUAUUCAAUGUAAAUUAAGCGUACUAGGAACACAAUUUCCCACUCAACGAUCAUCUUAAACCCUAAUUUUACAAUGUGACAACACGAUUGAGUUGUUGACGAAUCAAUGCUCAUAAAUCUAUUCAAUACUUUCUCUCGAGAUGUAUUGGCUCUUAUAAAAUAAUGUAGUUCAAUUUUAUGUGUUUCACAUCUCUCUUUGUUGAAUUCUUCAUAAAUUUGAUUAUUAAAAUUACAAAAAGAGAAAGAUAGCGAGCUCAAAAUAAUUAAGAGAGAUGUUGUAGAGCUUUAAUUCGAUUUUCUCCGGUAGAAACGAAACUAUAGUAGAAUAACAGAUUUGAAUAAAAUUGAGGUUCAUUUGAUUAAGUUGAUAUUGAACUAAAAAUUAGAAAUAGGAAUCAUAUUUUGUGGUUUGAAUUAAAUUAACUAGUUACCAAAUUUAUUUAGAAAAAGUAAAUAAUUUUACUUAUUUAAAAUAAAUUAAUUAAAAAAUUACGGAGAUUCGAUUCUUAUUCGGUUAUUCGGGUCUUGGCCUAGAACCGAGAGUCGAACCAUACCCGUCGGUUCUUGAUUCAAAUACCCGUUCGAGUAUUUAACUUGAGAAGAACCGUCGGAUUCGAUUCGGUGGGUUCGGUUCGAAAGUUUUGUCCAGCCCUAGUUACAUUGCUCAAAUAUUUACAUUAUCCAGGUGAAGGGAUGGUCCAGGGUAGGUAGGGACUGUUGUUGCUUUCGUAGCAUUCGCUUGACACAGUAAAUGAAAGAAGGAAGAAAUGGCCUGUGCUAUUCUCCGAGAAAGAUUAUAUGAAUAAUUAGACAACCAGUAUGGAUUAAUCACUUGUUUUUACACAAUAAUUGUCUAAGAUUGAAUCUACAAACGAAAUAUCCUAACUAAACAGCAUGGCAUUCAUUUCAUCGGCCAAUUCUCUAAUUGCUUGUCCUUGUGGAAAAUGAUUUCUGCAACGUAUUUUCCUUUUUCCGUCUUGCUCUGGGAAACUGAACUUGCCAUGUCUGAGGUUGGAGUAAUUCAGACAAAAGCUUCAACAUCUACAAGCAGAAAUGUUCUGUCAUGCGGAAAGUUUCUAGUAAUAUAAGAAUACGCAAAAGUCUAGUAAUUUCAAAAUCUAACAAAGAUUGUAUAAAAUCUGUCAUCUGAUGGAUGCAGCAUAUUUAGCAUUGAAUGGAAAUAUUUGGGUCCUUCACCAGCAGACUUUGAACUUCCACCUAGGGUAGAGAUUUAAAAAAAAAUGGAAAGUGAAAUAUUAAUACUUAACAUUAUAUCUUAUGUUACCUCAAUAUUUAAGGAGCUGGACUUUAAUCUUCUCCAGUGAUGAGACAACUUCUUUCAUGCUUGGCCUGUUUUCAGUAUAUUCUGCCGUGCAAUUUACUGCCACGUUCAUAAUGGAUGAUAUACACUCCAGCUUUUCGCUUAUGUGUUGUCCCUCUGCACUUAGUAUGUUGGUAUCUACAACCUGAUCUAUGGCAUGUGGAUUUGAAUUAGUAACCCAAUUCCUCAAACUUAACCCUUCUGAAAACAUAUCAUCAGUGGGCCGCCUACUUGUAAAAGUUUCCAUCAACAUAAUGCCAUAACUAUAAAUAUCACACCUCAUUGUAACUAUUCCUUCUGUUCCAUAUUCUGCGAAGUGUUACGUCAUGUAAUGCGGUUAUUGAUUUGGAAAGGAUUAUUUAACUAUUUUUCAGGAGGAUAUAAUAUUUGAAGCAUAAUGAAAGCCACAAGACUCACCUGGUGCCAUAUAACCAAAUGUAGCUAGGGUCGUGGUAUGCUUAAUAGUUUCUUCCUCUUCUAACAGUUUUGCAAUGCCAAAGUCGCUCACAUGUCCAACCAAAUCUUGAUCUAGCAAGACAUUGCUAGGCUUCAAGUCACAGUGAACAACCGGAGUUGAGUAACUGUGGUGGAGAUACUCAAUUGCACGUGCUACAUCUGUCAUAAUGUUCAAUCUCUGAAUAACAUCCAAGGAAUGACCAUCAGAAUGCAACCACUCUUCUAGGCUCCCAUUAGGCAUGUACUCAAGGAUUAAGGCCUUAAAAUCAAGGUUGGAACAGCUGCUGAUAACUUUGGUGAGAUUCCGGUGACGAAGGUUCUUUAACACUUCACACUCUAUUUCGAAACUCUUGAAUGCACCUUCCAAUUGCAAAUGAAACACUUUUAUGGCAACAAUUGUCCCAUCAGUGAGUGAUCCUUUGAAAACUGAUCCAAAACUUCCUCUGCCAAGCAAGUUUCUAUCGUUAAACCCAUCAGUUGCUUGUUGAAGUUGAUAGAACGAAAUUCUUUGAAGCAUUUUAUCAGGUAUUGAAUCAGCCUGAGCUUGAACCUGUCUUAGUCGGUAUCUUAACCACAAAAGUAUGAUGACCAAGGUGGCUGCUGCCAAUGCAGUUGUUAUUGGAAUAAGUACAGCCAACACCACUUUCUUAUUCUUUGAUCUGGGCGAAGAAUUAACUCGACAAGGUGGGACAUGGAAUUGAGGUUUACCACAAAUAGCUUCAUUUGACAAGAAAGAAAGGUAAGUGAAAUUCUCAAAGGGCCUUCCACUUGGAAUUUCUCCACUUAAUUUGUUGAACGAUACAUUGAAAUACAUUAGAUGUUGAAGGGCCUCGAGUGACCUUGGGAUCAUGCCAGUGAGACUGUUGUUGGAUAGAUCCAGAUUUUCUAAACUAAUCAAUUUCCCCAUGGAGUCUGGAAUACUUCCUUCAAAUUUAUUAUCAGCCAAAGACAGAUAGAUCAAGUUUGGUAACUUAAUUAUUGUACUUGGAAUAUAGCCUGAGAACUGAUUCUUUGAUAGAUUUAAUUCAAUUACAGCCUGUAAUCUUGCAACUUCAGGUGGUAGGGAUCCAUUCAAGAGAUUUGAGGACAGAUCGAAAUACAGGAUAUCUUUAAGAUUCCAAAGGCUUGCAGGUAUGCUAUAUGUUAAUUUGUUGAAACCAAGAAAAAGCUUUCUUAGAGAAGUAACAUUGCCUAAGCAUUCAGGCAAUGCUCCAAGAAUUUUAUUUCGGGUCAGGGACAGUUGAUACAAGUUUGGCAAAUGACAAAGACUCGUUGGAAUUAUUCCUCCUAUGUUGUUGAACGGACAGUAUAAUACCUGCAGCUGCUGCAAACCAUUGAAUUCAUAUGGAAUAAAUCCACUCAAAUCAUUGUCAGAUAAGUUUAUUAUUAUCAAGUUGCUCAAGUUACUUAUCUGUUUUGGUAUGCCACCCUUAAGUUCAGAAUAACUCGCCUCAAAGUAAUCAAGGUUAGAGAUGUUCCCAAUGGAUUCUGGAAGGAUGCCUUUAAGAGGAUUGAAACCGACUAAAAUUUGUCUUAGAUGUCUGCAUCUGGUCAAGGAAGUGAUGAAGCUCAGCUCUUGAUCAGCUUCCAAAUUGUUGUGAUGGAGAUAGAGAGAUUGGAGGAAUUUUAGGUUACCAAGACUAUUGGGAAUUAGACCAGUAAACUGAUUUACAGAAAGGUCUAGAUCCCGUAGCUUCGAAGAAUUUGAGAGAGAGUUGGGGAAAACUCCUGUGAGGUUAUUUAGGUCAAGAUAGAGCACUUCAAGAUUAGGCAUGUUAUUGCCUAUACUUGAUGGAAGAGAGCCUGAAAGGGAAUUAAGGGCGAGACUUAACGUUCUUAAACUCGAGCUGUUGAAGAGGAUGUCUGGAAUAGAGCCCCUCAAGCUAUUAUUAAACAAAUCUAGUUCUUCCAAUCCAUGAAGAUAUCCAAGCUCCUGGGGUAUAAAGCCUGCGACAUUAUUUUGUGCGUUAGUGCCUACAAAUGAUUAAUAACAACCUUAAUACGAUCCAAUAUACAGUUCUUUGGAUCCCGGAACAUGCUUAUUUCAGUUGGAAAUGAUAAUGACUGCUUAAAUAGUGAAAAUAUAUAAUUUUUCUUUAUAUUGAAGAACCCAUUUGGGAAAUAUUAAUCAAAUACUCCAUUUUCUGUAGUGGUUAAAAAAUUUUAACCAUACCUUCUAAAAUGUUGGAGCGAAGAUUUAACACCUCAAGCAUAGUCAGAUUCCCUAUUUCUCUUGGAAUGAGUCCUGUUAAUUUGUUGCUAUACAGGUCCAAUACCUGAAGCUCUGUGCAUUCUGAUAUAUCCAGUGGAAUUUGGCCAUUUAGGCUGUUAGAUGCGAGCGACAGAAAUCUGAGUUUUGUUACAUUAUGGCACAUGUCUUCUGGAAUAUUGCCGGACAAGAAAUUGUCCUGAAGAUUCAUAAUUUCUAGUGAAGAGAUCUGUAAUAUUGAUCUUGGUAAAAAACCAGAAAUUCUGUUGCUUCUCAUUCUCAAAAUUUUUAGGCUACCAAGAUUACCAAUAUCUAAUGGGAUCUGUUCUUGAAGAAAAUUGAAGUCCAUGUUCAGGAUCUCCAGCCUCGACAGGUUACAGAGUGAAGAUGGAAUGGCUCCUUCAAAAGAGUUGUUAGCAAUAAUCAA
RNAcentral lists this long non-coding RNA (22751 nucleotides) under Olea europaea (common olive). RNAcentral's name for it is "long non-coding RNA (OEUR_LNC011770)". The stretch from base 7904 to 7963 matches the Rfam family "tRNA", at positions 7 to 64 of the family's 71-position model. Lineage: Eukaryota; Viridiplantae; Streptophyta; Magnoliopsida; Lamiales; Oleaceae. The record is from RNAcentral.